UGGAGGACUGAGAAGGUGAGGCAGAUCUGUACCAUGCUGCCUUCCACUGGUUAAGACCUCCCAGAGCGAAGGGUGCCAAGGCAGAGGAUGUCCCUCUGCCACCCUCGGAGGGGCAGCGCUGUGCUGGCCGACAUUUG
Molecule: small nucleolar RNA, 137 nt
Organism: Choloepus hoffmanni (Hoffmann's two-fingered sloth)
Lineage: Eukaryota; Metazoa; Chordata; Mammalia; Pilosa; Megalonychidae
Gene: SNORA47
Product: small nucleolar RNA, H/ACA box 47
Source: Ensembl